This 403-nucleotide ribosomal RNA is filed under the name Verrucomicrobiota bacterium. RNAcentral describes it as "Verrucomicrobia bacterium partial 16S ribosomal RNA". It matches the Rfam family "Bacterial small subunit ribosomal RNA", at positions 355 to 776 of the family's 1533-position model. The record is from RNAcentral. Lineage: Bacteria; Pseudomonadati; Verrucomicrobiota.
UGGGGAAUAUUGCAUAAUGGGGGAAACCCUGAUGCAGCGACGCCGCGUGAGCGAAGAAGGUUUUCGAAUCGUAAAGCUCUGUCCUAUGAGAAGAUAAUGACGGUAUCAUAGGAGGAAGCCCCGGCUAAAUACGUGCCAGCAGCCGCGGUAAUACGUAUGGGGCGAGCGUUGUCCGGAAUUAUUGGGCGUAAAGGGUACGUAGGCGGUCUAUUAAGUCAGGUGUGAAAGCGUGAGGCUUAACCUCAUUAAGCACUUGAAACUGAUAGACUUGAGUGAAGGAGAGGAAAGUGGAAUUCCUAGUGUAGCGGUGAAAUGCGUAGAUAUUGGGAGGAACACCAGUAGCGAAGGCGGCUUUCUGGACUGCAACUGACACUGAGGCACGAAAGCGUGGGUAGCAAACAGG